GAAUAGAUACCCCCGGGUAGUCCAUGCCGUAAACGUUGGGAACUAGAUGUGGGGACCAUUCCACGGUCUCCGUGUCGCAGCUAACGCAUUAAGUUCCCCGCCUGGGGAGUACGGCCGCAAGGCUAAAACUCAAAGGAAUUGACGGGGGGCCCGCACAAGCGGCGGAGCAUGCGGAUUAAUUCGAUGCAACGCGAAGAACCUUACCAAGGCUUGACAUAUACGAGAACGCUGCAGAAAUGUAGAACUCUUUGGACACUCGUAUACAGGUGGUGCAUGGUUGUCGUCAGCUCGUGUCGUGAGAUGUUGGGUUAAGUCCCGCAACGAGCGCAACCCUCGUCGUAUGUUGCCAGCACGUAAUGGUGGGAACUCAUAUGAGACUGCCGGGGUCAACUCGGAGGAAGGUGGGGAUGAGGUCAAAUCAUCAUGCCCCUUAUGUCUUGGGCUUCACGCAUGCUACAAUGGCCGGUACAAAGGGCUGCAAUACCGCAAGGUGGAGCGAAUCCCAAAAAGCCGGUCUCAGUUCGGA
This 526-nucleotide ribosomal RNA is filed under the name uncultured bacterium. RNAcentral describes it as "bacterial SSU rRNA". It matches the Rfam family "Bacterial small subunit ribosomal RNA", at positions 776 to 1297 of the family's 1533-position model. The record is from RNAcentral.